AGCCGUUUAGUUUAAAAAAAAUUUUUAUUUGUGGUAUAAAAGAUGGUAUGGCUAU
Molecule: transfer RNA, 55 nt
Filed under: Tridentoinfundibulum gobi
Lineage: Eukaryota; Metazoa; Nematoda; Chromadorea; Rhabditida; Strongylidae
Description: tRNA-His
Source: RNAcentral